AUGGGCGAACGACGGGAAUUGAACCCGCGCAUGGUGGAUUCACAAUCCACUGCCUUGAUCCACUUGGCUACAUCCGCCCCUACUAUU
Molecule: transfer RNA, 87 nt
Filed under: Myrtus communis
Lineage: Eukaryota; Viridiplantae; Streptophyta; Magnoliopsida; Myrtales; Myrtaceae
Also listed under: 1 other name
Description: tRNA-His
Source: RNAcentral